Cervus elaphus (red deer) is the source of this 320-nucleotide long non-coding RNA. RefSeq lists it as uncharacterized. NCBI's taxonomy places the organism in Eukaryota, Metazoa, Chordata, Mammalia, Artiodactyla, Cervidae. The record is from RefSeq and is a predicted model, not a curated record. The transcript has 3 exons.
CUUCUCCCUGGGGUGGCGAAUAAUGCUAGCUAUCAUAUCUGGUGUCUAUGGGACAUGGUGAGGUGCCGCUCCAGGACCCUUCUUCAGCAUCAGCCUGGAGAAUGAGAGCAGUAACCAGCCUUUGGAAUUCCGGCAAUUUUCUUCCCUGGGAUCCAUUGUCUCUGUCACGUGAAAAUGACAACAAUAUAUACCCAGGAGUGGAAUUGCUGGGUCAUAUGGUAGCUCUGUUUUUUUUAGUUUUUUGAGAAACCUUCAGCUUACAUCUUCACCAGCAGUGAACCACAGUUUCCUUUUCUCCAAAUCUUCACCAGCACUUGUUG